This 407-nucleotide unclassified non-coding RNA is filed under the name Bartonella henselae. RNAcentral describes it as "partial 16S-23S ribosomal RNA intergenic spacer". The stretch from base 353 to 407 matches the Rfam family "tRNA", at positions 1 to 53 of the family's 71-position model. The record is from RNAcentral. Lineage: Bacteria; Pseudomonadati; Pseudomonadota; Alphaproteobacteria; Hyphomicrobiales; Bartonellaceae.
UUUCAUAAGUGCUUUUAAAAAAUAAGUACUUCUAAAAAGAUUGCUUCUAAAAAGAUUGCUUCUAAAAAGAUUGCUUCUAAAAAGCUUAUCAAAAUUGGCAGGCUUAUUGCUUUUGUGUGAGUAAUCCAAAGUUAAAGCAAAUUAAUGGCAAAAAAACAGUUCAAAUGCUAAAUACUAAGGAGUCAAAAUUCCUUGCAAAGUGAUUUUUACAGCGUCCAUUUGGUUGAUAUAAAUUCCAAAUGCUCAUAGACGUCAAUGCCUAUAUGAAACUAUCGGUUCAAUCAUAUCGCUUUGAGUUAUAUAGAUUUUGUAAUCCCUCUUUUGAUCGUUUUAAACGCUUUAUCCUGAUUUAGGGGCCGUAGCUCAGCUGGGAGAGCACCUGCUUUGCAAGCAGGGGGUCGUCGGUU